This is a long non-coding RNA of Glycine soja, 237 nucleotides long. RefSeq lists it as uncharacterized. NCBI's taxonomy places the organism in Eukaryota, Viridiplantae, Streptophyta, Magnoliopsida, Fabales, Fabaceae. The transcript has 3 exons. The record is from RefSeq and is a predicted model, not a curated record.
CAAAUGUGAAGAUUGCUACAGCUCCUUCCAAUGUAGUGGUGCUUACAUCUAAAAAUUUUAAUGAGGUUGUCUUAGAUGAAACCAAAGAUGUCUUGGUUGAGUUUUAUGCACCUUGGUGUGGACAUUGCAAAAGUCUUGCUCCUACUUACGAGAAAGUUGCCACAACAUUUAAAUUGGAGGAAGAUGUAGUAAUUGCAAAUUUGGAUGCUGAUAAAUAUAAGGAUCUGGCUGAAAAGU